This 397-nucleotide ribosomal RNA is filed under the name uncultured bacterium. RNAcentral's name for it is "bacterial SSU rRNA". It matches the Rfam family "Bacterial small subunit ribosomal RNA", at positions 490 to 890 of the family's 1533-position model. The record is from RNAcentral.
GCCCCGGCUAACUACGUGCCAGCAGCCGCGGUAAUACGUAGGGGGCGAGCGUUGUCCGGAAUUAUUGGGCGUAAAGGGUACGUAGGCGGCUUUUUAAGUUUGACGUGAAAGCCCGGGGCUUAACUCCGGCAAGCGUUGAAAACUGGAGGGCUUGAGUGAUGGAAGGGACAGUGGAAUUCCUGGUGUAGUGGUGAAAUGCGCAGAGAUCAGGAAGAAUACCAGUGGCGAAGGCGACUGUCUGGACAUUAACUGACGCUGAGGUACGAAAGCGUGGGGAGCAAACAGGAUCAGAUACCCUGGUAGUCCACGCUGUAAACGAUGAGUGCAAGGUGUUGGGGGUCAAACCUCGGUGCCGCCGUUAACACAGUAAGCACUCCGCCUGGGGAGUACGUACGCA